AUUGAACGCUGGCGGCAGGCCUAACACAUGCCAGUCGAGCGGAUGAAGGGAGCUUGCUCCUGGAUUCAGCGGCGGACGGGUGAGUAAUGCCUAGGAAUCUGCCUGGUAGUGGGGGAUAACGUCCGGAAACGGGCGCUAAUACCGCAUACGUCCUGAGGGAGAAAGUGGGGGAUCUUCGGACCUCACGCUAUCAGAUGAGCCUAGGUCGGAUUAGCUAGUUGGUGGGGUAAAGGCCUACCAAGGCGACGAUCCGUAACUGGUCUGAGAGGAUGAUCAGUCACACUGGAACUGAGACACGGUCCAGACUCCUACGGGAGGCAGCAGUGGGGAAUAUUGGACAAUAGGCGAAAGCCUGAUCCAGCCAUGCCGCGUGUGUGAAGAAGGUCUUCGGAUUGUAAAGAACUUUAAGUUGGGAGGAAGGGCAGUAAGUUAAUACCUAGCUGUUUUGACGGUACCGACAGAAUAAGCACCGGCUAACUUCGUG
This 484-nucleotide ribosomal RNA is filed under the name uncultured bacterium. RNAcentral's name for it is "partial 16S ribosomal RNA". It matches the Rfam family "Bacterial small subunit ribosomal RNA", at positions 30 to 507 of the family's 1533-position model. The record is from RNAcentral.